Molecule: ribosomal RNA, 306 nt
Filed under: uncultured bacterium
Lineage: Bacteria
Description: partial 16S ribosomal RNA
Rfam family: Bacterial small subunit ribosomal RNA
Source: RNAcentral
GACAGCAGUAGCCACGGGAAUACAGAGGGUGCGAGCGUUAAUCGGAUUUACUGGGCGUAAAGCGUGCGUAGGCGGCUUUUUAAGUCGGAUGUGAAAUCCCUGAGCUUAACUUAGGAAUUGCAUUCGAUACUGGGAAGCUAGAGUAUGGGAGAGGAUGGUAGAAUUCCAGGUGUAGCGGUGAAAUGCGUAGAGAUCUGGAGGAAUACCGAUGGCGAAGGCAGCCAUCUGGCCUAAUACUGACGCUGAGGUACGAAAGCAUGGGGAGCAAACAGGAUUAGAUACCCGUGUAGUCCCUGUCUCUUAUAC